AGCAGCGGCAGCAGUGGCGGUGGCCACAGAGGGCAGCCGCUGCCCGCCUUCAUUGAUACCUCCUAUGCGCAAAUGCUGUCCUGUUGUACUCUCGUUUACUACUAAAAACUGCCCUGUUUAAGACCCUUAAUGUCUUUGGUUGGCCUUACGGUAAUGUCUGAGAUCCUCACCCUGACACCCUGGGCAAUGCCAGGCCUGCUCCGCUCUUCCAGCCACAUGCCCCCAGCCCUCAGCCUGCAUCUUUCUUUCAGUUCCUCAGCAUCCUGCCCUCCCUGUGCGUGUUCUUCGUUCCUCAGGAACAAGCAGCGCUCCUGACCACCUGCCCCUGUAGCCCACGCCCACCCCACAGCCUUAGCUCCGACCAGAAAAGAAGGAAGUGCUCACGGAAGGAUGGGGAUAUGCCAAAAGGGCAUAGAAGCCAACCUGCUGGAGCUCCCAAUGGCGAAAGCUGGACCGAGUUGAGCAAAAAAAACAAAUAAUGAUAGCAGUGGAUUCUAAUUCAUAGAAUAAUAUAAAUAUUCAUGGGUCCAUAUUGAUACAAAAAAUGCAAACCAGUGAGAGGAGAGAACUCAUGUGUUGUGCCUGCUACUCACUGCUGUGUCUCCCCUGGGGCCAGAACACAACAUGGUGCACAGUCGGCGGUAACUGCUCAGAGUGGAAUGAAGGAGCUGUUGGUGUCACCCAUGCACAGUGUGCCACAUUUCAUGAAUCUUUGCGAAUCCGAGCAGUGAACCCUUGGUGUAACAAUGCAAUAACAGCAAAUGGAGAGACUGUUCUGGCUGUCCUGCGUCAUUCAGACUUUGUUCGGAAAGUUCCGUCUGUGGAGCUGUCUUGCCGAGGACAGAGAGCACUGCACACGUCUGUCAAGUCCCUGUUCUGGUUAAGCUCCGACGCUGCCCCCUUGGUAUCCAGCCCACCCCUCCUCCAAAUGCCCCUGUGCACCCUUGGUUUCCCACCUAGGAGCUCAUUCCUGGCUCUCAACUGUUAGUUUAUAAACUUGUCAUGUGUGUGCCAAUAAAUUCUUCAGAAUUCGUGUCAGUAUUGCACGUUAAAUACCAAGCCCAACAAUGAAGCAGUUCCUGAGAUGCCCACGCCCUGUCCGUCGGGCCUGCCUGACGCGGCGCUCAGUUCUGUGGAGUGACUCACGCUCUCCUGGAUUCUGUUUCUUUCAGAACUAUUUUUAGAAAAAUGAGGACAGAGAUUUGAUUCCUAGUUUCAGGCUCCCCA
Molecule: long non-coding RNA, 1227 nt
Filed under: Equus caballus (horse)
Lineage: Eukaryota; Metazoa; Chordata; Mammalia; Perissodactyla; Equidae
Description: lncRNA (ENSECAG00000047588.1)
Source: RNAcentral